Myodes glareolus (Bank vole) is the source of this 672-nucleotide non-coding RNA. NCBI's taxonomy places the organism in Eukaryota, Metazoa, Chordata, Mammalia, Rodentia, Cricetidae. The record is from RefSeq and is a predicted model, not a curated record.
UCCAGCCCCUGACUAAGUUUUCAAAAGUCCUUAGUCAGAGUUGAGAAACUUUAUAAAACCUUCACCACGAAUUGCUGGUCGCUCCAAUGAAGUCUGCCCUCACUGCCACUGGGCCUCUCUUCUAGUGAGACCUGCUGCGGAUGCCAUUUUUGCUGAGCCAGAGUGGCAGCCAUCUCCUUCUGGAUUCAAGAUGGCUGUCGAGCACGGCUCUCAGAACAAGCUUGUAGAAAGUGACACUGGAGCUGCGGUGUGUCAUGCUGUAUUUACCUUGUCUACCUCGCCUGCAGAUGCUCUUCGCAAUGAGUCACGAUCUUGGCCAAGGCCUCUGGCACAGUGUUAGCACUGGACCCUCCCCAAAACUGCGCUCAGAUAUCCUGCUGUUGCCCUGAGUCAUGGAGUUCCUGUGGGUAACACUCAGCAGCUCCAGCAGAUCAUAGAUGGGGUAGAUGUUAGGGGAUUUACAUCUCUCCGCGUGGCCCAGUUCCCAAGCCUGCAGCGUCAUCUCACCCCGCACGCCCAGGAGCAGCUGGCUGUCCCUUGGCUUUGCAGAGAGGGUCUUCUUGGACGUCAAUCCCAGGUUCCUUUCUCAGUCCUAUAGCCCAUCAAGAACCUUUUUAGGCUACAUCAUCUUGAGAGAAAUGAGGAGACCAAAACCAGGAUAUAAGAUUCAAC